GAGUUAUAGGUUUCGUAAGAACACAAAUUCUUUGAAAAUUAGGUAUAAAUAAUAGUUAUUUAUCCGGAACAUAAAGAAAUAAGAGCGUAGAGUUCAUAG
This 99-nucleotide ribosomal RNA is filed under the name Candidatus Phytoplasma citri. Its description in RNAcentral is "Candidatus Phytoplasma aurantifolia partial 23S ribosomal RNA". The record is from RNAcentral. Lineage: Bacteria; Bacillati; Mycoplasmatota; Mollicutes; Acholeplasmatales; Acholeplasmataceae.